CACUCCUGCGGGAGGCAGCAGUGGGGAAUAUUGGACAAUGGGCGCAAGCCUGAUCCAGCCAUGCCGCGUGAGUGAUGAAGGCCCUAGGGUUGUAAAGCUCUUUCACCGGUGAAGAUAAUGACGGUAACCGGAGAAGAAGCCCCGGCUAACUUCGUGCCAGCAGCCGCGGUAAUACGAAGGGGGCUAGCGUUGUUCGGAUUUACUGGGCGUAAAGCGCACGUAGGCGGACUAUUAAGUCAGGGGUGAAAUCCCGGGGCUCAACCCCGGAACUGCCUUUGAUACUGGUAGUCUUGAGUGCGGGAGAGGUGAGUGGAAUUCCGAGUGUAGAGGUGAAAUUCGUAGAUAUUCGGAGGAACACCAGUGGCGAAGGCGGCUCACUGGCUCGAUACUGACGCUGAGGUGCGAAAGCGUGGGGAGCAAACAGGAUUAGAUACCCCAGUAGUCCCAUGA
This 450-nucleotide ribosomal RNA is filed under the name uncultured organism. Its description in RNAcentral is "partial 16S ribosomal RNA". It matches the Rfam family "Bacterial small subunit ribosomal RNA", at positions 334 to 800 of the family's 1533-position model. The record is from RNAcentral.